CCGUAGCUAACGCAUUAAGUGCCCCGCCUGGGGAGUACGGCCGCAAGGCUAAAACUCAAAGGAAUUGACGGGGGCCCGCACAAGCGGCGGAGCAUGCGGAUUAAUUCGAUGCAACGCGAAGAACCUUACCAAGGCUUGACAUUCACCGGACCGCCCCAGAGAUGGGGUUUCCCUUCGGGGCUGGUGGACAGGUGGUGCAUGGUUGUCGUCAGCUCGUGUCGUGAGAUGUUGGGUUAAGUCCCGCAACGAGCGCAACCCUCGUUCUAUGUUGCCAGCACGUGAUGGUGGGGACUCAUAGGAGACUGCCGGGGUCAACUCGGAGGAAGGUGGGGAUGACGUCAAAUCAUCAUGCCCCUUAUGUCUUGGGCUUCACGCAUGCUACAAUGGCCGGUACAAAGGGUUGCGAUACUGUGAGGUGGAGCUAAUCCCAAAAAGCCGGUCUCAGUUCGGAUUGAGGUCUGCAACUCGACCUCAUGAAGUCGGAGUCGCUAGUAAUCGCAGAUCAGCAACGCUGCGGUGAAUACGUUCCCGGGCCUUGUACACACCGCCCGUCAAGUCACGAAAGUUGGUAACACCCGAAGCCGGUGGCCUAACCCCUUGU
This 601-nucleotide ribosomal RNA is filed under the name Kocuria sp. RNAcentral describes it as "bacterial SSU rRNA". It matches the Rfam family "Bacterial small subunit ribosomal RNA", at positions 846 to 1446 of the family's 1533-position model. The record is from RNAcentral. Lineage: Bacteria; Bacillati; Actinomycetota; Actinomycetes; Micrococcales; Micrococcaceae.